Molecule: long non-coding RNA, 10485 nt
Filed under: Homo sapiens (human)
Lineage: Eukaryota; Metazoa; Chordata; Mammalia; Primates; Hominidae
Description: HSALNT0302697
Source: RNAcentral
ACAGCUGUGGCUGAGGCCAACGGAUGGCAACGGUGCCACCAGGCUCUCUGGGAGCAAUCCGCUUGGCUGUCUCCAGCCUCAGGAAGGACUUUUAAACUCGAUGAAAAUAACCUAAGAGGCCACGUUUUGAUGGUAACUGUAAGUGCCCUAGAAAUGGGAAGUACCCAGCAGGGAGAAUAGAGUAGAAUUUAGGAGCCAAGAUUUUGAAAUGAGAUGGACUGGAUUCAUAUCCAACCUCUACUGCAUUCUAGAUUUGUUACUUUGGGCUAUGUUUUUUUUUUUUAACCUCACUAAGCCUCAGUUGCCUAAUAGGUGAAAUGGGGAAAAUGUCUAGCUUAUGUUUAUUGUGAGGAUUGACUGAGAUAAAAUGCUAAAGCAUUCUGCACGGUGUGUGGCGCAUUUGAGGUUCAAUAAAUUUUAGUGUUUAUUAUUAUUAGUAUUGCAGGAGGUAGGAAGAUCUAUGGCUUCUCUCUGGGAACCCACAUCUUUCUUCAGCCAAAACAAGCAGCCUGUCUCCUUGUCUGGGUGAUGAGAAUGAUGAUCCUACCUACAUCACCAAGAUUUCAUGAGAAUCAAGUAUAAAGCACUUAGGACAGUGCCUAGCUCUUAGCAAACAUGGUACUAUUAGCUUUCAUUAUUUUUAUUAUUGCUGCUUUUCUUUUCUGAGGUCCAUGGACAUUGACCUAGGAUGUUUCCACAGAAUUUCCUUGUGUUGAUUGUGGAUCUGAAAUUAUGUGGGGGCUUCCAAAGCAGAGGAAAUAGCAACAGCUGUUUCUAGUUAGUUUGAUAUUUGAAAUACUUUAUUCUCAAAUUAAUUCCUCAGAUGGAACAAAAAGAACUUGCUGCAAUAACAGAACUGAGUGCAUUUUGCCACGUGACUCUAUUUUCAUGUAUUGAUCCUUUGGAGUUGGAACUGUUCCUUUCUUGUCCCCUGCAUUUGGGCUGUUGCUUCAUCAUGGGCAGCAGCUCACAGUCACCUGCUACAAGAGUGUGUUCUUGAAACAUGGAUGUUUUUGAGCUUGAGAGGGUUUGCCGGCUGAACAAUUCCAACAAUAGGUUUUAAUGUCUUAAGUGGUUCCUUUUUUUGUUGGCCAGCAUUUGAAUAUUGUAUAACAUUAAUGAAGAGACAAGCUUGUAUUCAAAGGAAAUGAAAAUAUCAGAAAACUCCAACCUGAGAAAUGAAUACCCUUGGAAUGCGUGAUCAGGCCAUUUCUCAUUAAUUAGUAGGUUUGUACUCUACACGCUCCAUGAAAUGUUCCUUUUCUACAAAGGCAGGUGUUUGUCUAUGUUCAGUCUUUUCAUGCUUUGCUUAAAUAUGGUUUCUGGAUUGUGUUUCAUGUCCCUGAAGCAUGCAGUCCAGAGGGAAGGAGCCAGAACUCUGUUUCUCAGCCUGGCAUGAAGGGAAAUGCUUUAGUUUAUUUUAAACAUUAACCACCCAAUGGUACAGCAAUUUUUUUCUGUAUUUUAGCAAUUUGUUUUCUAAUACCUUCUUGAGAAUUUGGACAAUUAUUUUUCCUCUUUUCUCCCUGGAUUUACAUUGAGAGUCAGAAUAACUUUGCAGAGCUGAAGAAAACAUACUGCUGGUAAAAGAUGCAGGAUCAAUGUCUACAGGGCCAGGACCCUGAAGAAGCCAAUUAGAAAUACAGCCAUAUUGGUAAUGACUCCUUCUUUGGCGCUUAAGGACAGAUUCUCUGGGUGCAUCUUAGUCCCUAGGGAUAAGGCCAAGUCAAAGGCAGAAUAGAAUUUGUAACAAAUUCUUGGGAAUAUCCACUUCCAAAGUUGUUGUGUGAAAUGUGGCAAUACUACUUCUCAUGACAUGCAAGUGGUUGAAUGAGACAAGCUCAGAAAGUGUGAGACUGGUUCUAAGGCAGGUAGAGAAAAGUAGAGAGGAGGGUGUAGGAUGCCAGUGGUGAAGCAUAAGGUGGAGAAAUCUUUGUGAGAGCCGGGUCCAGGGAAGGGAAUCCCAGAAACCCAGAAGGAAUGUGUCGAAAUUUGGACCUUCUAUAAAGGUGAGUCUAUCUCUUCAUUUCAUGCACCCCCGAGUCUCAUGUGUCACACAGAGAUUGUGUAAAUAGUAUUGUAAUGGAAAGAUAAAACUCAAAAGGAGACAUAUGGACAAGGGGCUUGAAAAGGACAAGCUCUUCUACUGAGGAAGUCGAUCCUCAAAAAUUUAUUGUAGAUGGCCAAGGCCAGUGGGAACUUUGUACAAUAACCUGGCUUAACCCUUUGCUUUGGAUCCAGUCUCCUUUUGAUCCCUUACAGGGGAGAGCUGAUCUUAUCUUUUACAUCUCCAAAGGUGACACCUUGUAAAUGUCUUCCCAAGUCUCAUGGUCAGGGAGUUCUUCUUAUAGUCUAAACAAUAUUUCUCUUGCUUAAGUUUAUACCCUUCUUGAACUGCCCUCAUUCUUUCCUCCUGGAUCUCUUUAUCUUCUCUUUUGUAAGGCCAGUACUAAUUACUUUAGUUCUUUUCCAAGGAGAUGAUUUCUCCCAAACCUUGUGUCAUUUUUUGAGUAUGUCUUUAUACCCAUAUAGGUAUUUUUGUGGCUAGAAGGAGAGUCCUUCUGGGAUGGUAUUUUUACCCCCGGGUGGAUCUGUGCUGUGAAUAACCUGAGCCAUUCUGGAACCAUCCCCAGACCGGGCAGGUGGCAGCCCCAUUUGCUCUUUCCUGAGCGCCAAGGCAGAGAAGCAACUCUGGCUCUUUCUCUCUGGACCGCGUGCCUCCGGAACACGAAACUCAGUCACAGACACCAUAUUUAAACAGAGCAGGGAAAGGACGAAAAUAGACAAAAAACCUGUCCAUGUGGGCCAGGAAAGCUGCAUUUCCAAUAUGCUGUUAGCAAGACCCUGCUGCGAUUCACAUAGCAAGUAGUCAGGGUAGAACCUGGACGGUGAGCAGAAUGGCCACCCAUGGGCAUCCCUGGGCACUGGCGUGCCAAGCAUGUGCAAGGGGCAAGAUCUGGAGCAGGGAGGAGGAAGACAAGGCCCUUCCCUAACACAUGAGGAAGUACAACUUAAACAACUGAAACUGUUAGAAAGAACACAAGAGCCAUAGAAUUGGGGCUGGGCUUGAUGGUGGAGAGCAGUGGUUUUUAGACCUUUUAAGAGAGGAAUUUUUCAGAAAAAAUUUUGGAAGCUCAAUAUGUAAAACAAAUGUCAAAAAAUGACUGAUGGGCCCUGUGGUCAUUAGUUGUGUCUGAGGCUUAAGGCUGAGGACAAAAUGCAUUCAGGACACUCACUUCUCUACAGGGCUUCCGGGUUGGUGUCAGCUCAGAGAACCAGCCUAACCACCCCACCUCCUCCAUGUAAGGACCAGUAGAUCAGAGACAGCUGUGGGGAAGGGUAGUGUGCAUGAAGUCCCCAUGUCAAUCUCUGAGAAGUACAGAAGACAGAUCCUGCCUUUGCCUGUAGGUCUUCCUGCAGUCCACGGACAGUUGAUGACAGCGGAGGCACUGACUUCCAGACACUACUGCAGCUAAGGAAUGUGGUUGACGUUAGUCAGAAAAUACGCUCCAAAUUACCUGGCUGUAGCCCCCAGGGAAGCUGUUUGGGGGUCAUGACCUGUCAACAGGGCAGGUUGAUGCUCCCACCUGAUAUUAGUGAGCCUAGGGACGAUUAGUUAGAAUAACAGUUGUGAACAGUAAGAAGACUAUGGUAAGGUCUUCAGCCACAUAGGAAUCUGGCUAUCCUUUUCCUCCUUUACUUCCUCACAUGGGAGGCGGUGGCACCUAGAAGAGGAUGGGGAAGAACAAGGGUGAGGCAGGCUUCUAAACGCUGGGUUAGAUCUCCUUUUCUCUGCUCUAUACUAUUGAAGGUGAACUCCAGCCUAGACCUGGAAGAAAAAGAAGAAAGAGGAUCAAAUUAGAUGUGAGAAUAAAGUUGUGAAUGGAGCAAAUACAAUCCCUGGGGAAGUGGGUGAGAACGCAUAUGGAUCUAGACAGAGAAGGUAGCCUUAGGGGUGGAAGUUUCUCGACCUGGGGAGGAAAAGAGAAUGCCCAGAAUUCUUCCCCCAUGUCCCCAGGUAGGCCUAAGCCUGACACUAACUUCACAUGAAUCAACUUGGAUUUGCCCCAAUAAAAGUAACUGAAGGCAGGCUGAAGGCUGCCACUUGCAUUUAAGGAACAAACUCCUGGACUGGCAGGAAGCUCUGGUUUCCCGUUUAAUUGUGGUCAGGAUUUCAAGCUUAUUUUUAAAUUGAGUAGGGGUCAAUUCCAAUUCACUUUAAUUCAAUUCCAAGUCCAAAUUCAACACAUUUCUUGCAUACCUACUAGCUAGUUGGUCCUGUCUUAGGGUUGUUUAUCAAGAAUGUGAGAGGAGAACAGGAUAAGACAGGCCACGUCUGCUCUUAGUGACAUGUCUUGGUUGAUAUUAUUAUCCUCACUCAUCUCUGUCUUGCCUACCCCUAGUCAGGACCACAUACAUAUUCCACUCCUCUAAGAAACCCAUCCGCACUGCAAGCCAUGGGACUCCACCCUUUCCCAAGCUUCCUAAUGAUCUGUGUCACUCAGUUCAGCCCCUCAUUGUGGUCUAGUUUAUCUCAUCCAAUAAUCAUAUGGAAAUCAGCUCAAGAACAAUAUAGGCAUGCUGUCAAGUGUAGAUAUGCCAUGUCUUGUGGUUAAAGUCUUAGACUCUUGGUGAGCUCUGCUUUUAGAGCACUCUGAAGGGUUUCUAAUAUCACAGACCUCCUUUAUUGUAGCUGUGGUCUUUUGCAGUCUUGGCUUUGAGAAAUGUUGUUGCCCACAUAGGAUUAGCCACACCAGGGGCAGCAGGCAAUGCUCUAGUCCAAGCCUGACUUGAAACUCAAGAAGCAAGUUUCUGUACAAGAGGAAAUGAAAAUUUCCAAUCUCUUAAGACCGGGUCCUGGAAAACUGGCACAGUGUCACUUCUGCUGUAUUCUACUGCUCACCACAGGUCCACCACAGAUUCCACCAACUUCAAGGGGAGGGGAACUAGAUUUUACCUGUCAAUGGGAGCAGUAGCAAAUACCAUCUUUACCUCACUUUGGUAAGAAUGAAGUCAUGUUCAGAAGCCCAGUAUAUAAAAUAUACAAGGUGAGAGACUUAGAGACUCCUUUUUUGGUCUCCUCUUUUAACCCACACUCUCUUCAUCGAAAGCCUUUAGAAUUCUAAUUUGAAUUUGAAAGCUAUAGUAACUGCGGUUUGUUGUGUGAGAAUAACAGAGAAAAAGCGUCCUAUAUAUUUAAUGGUAAUUUUCUCCGGAUAUUGCCUCAACUAGGGACUUAUUCUACCCAGUUGACAUGACAUACGCUUUGGGUACUUGCUCUGGUCAUACUGAACGCAAGAUCUUAGCACAGGCUGUGGGGCGCCUAAAAGCUGCCCUGACCGCAUGCCAAAGAAUCUCCACAUGGGGCUCAAGCAGAGAGGAAAGUCAGCUCUACCUAUUAUCUGUCCUUUAACCAUACCAGGAGGGUUGCAACUCCCUUCAGAGCCUAGGGCAGAAGACUUUAUCGACAGAGCCCUGCCCUUUUUUGUUUGAGAGUAUGAGCAGGUGUUAUCUGAGAACAAGCAGGUGUUUGUAGAAAUGUGACCUUGAGCCCUGGUUACAGACCUGCUCUUUUGUUCUGGUGACUCAUUUUUCCUUGAAUGGAGUUGGUUUCUAUUUAUGAAAUGGCUGUGAGGCCACAGUGACCAGCUUGGACACUACUGUUGUAUAUGUGAGUGCUUCCCCUCCCAAGAGCAGAUAAAUUACUGAGUGCAUUUGAUACCUGUCUGCCAGAGAUGUGGCCACCCCUUGUCACCCACAAGUUUGUCUACAAAGAGGGCAAGCAAAUAUAGCAUGCCUGUGUCACACUCGCUUUUUUAAAGAAGGUUAUGCCUAUGGGUAAACAGAAAGUGCCUUGUUCCAAAGACUCUUCUGUUCUCAGGCUGGAAAAAUAUAAUUUAGUCCAUCCUGGGAAGCUACUGGGCAAUGCUGAAAAUCUUUGGCUAAUAGGAAAUAAUUUAGAACAGAGAAUCACCUUGGGUAAGACAGUGAAUAUUUUACAACUGUACUGACUGUGGAAUUUAAGCCAGCAUUCUGCACUUCAUCUUAAUUCUCUCUACUAAUCACUGCGAGGAAGCAUGUAUAUGUGUAUGUAUGUACAUAUGUAUGUGUGUGUAUACUUCUGGGUCUCUGUGUAGAGCUAAUGGUUUAUUCUCCAGCGCCACCAAGUCCUAAGAGGUGUGAGUUUCAGGUUAAACCCAGAAAUAGGAAGUGUUUAUAUGUUUAGCAUAGACAUAGACAACAAACACAUGUCUAUGUAAACCCAACUUACAAAAUUAUAUGUUGGAUAAAUUUUCUAGAAAUGUCCCACUGAUGGUAAUGUCAUCACAAAACUCUAAAGUUGGGCAUCAAUCCAGUCCUGCAGGCUGUAUGCAACCACUAGAAAUAUGGCCUGUAACUCAAAAGCCACUGCAACUGCGGAUAGAAGAUCACAUCCAAUCAGAUGCCAAGUUUGUUUCAGAAUUUAAUACAGGGCUUUGCCUACCCAGGCCACAUGACGCUAUACCUCCUUCAGAGUGUCAGGAUUCAGAGGGGCAUUUUCCAAUGAUUACACCUGUGGUGACGGAAAAUGAACGGACACACUCAAGGUCUAGACAGCUGAUGAAAUCAUGGAGAGCAGGAUGGACUGGGUUGUUCUAUAAGCAUAUUAUAUGGCUUGGAGGUUUCUCAUGAGGUGUCCUUCUUCUUACAGUAUUCCCAAAAGCACAAAGAUGGGAGGGAUUUGUAUUUUGGUCAGUGGCAGAUAUAAAAAUAUUUAAAGGGAUUUCUUCAUAGUUAUGUAAGACAUGACAUAGUUUAUGGACGUGAUUUCUUUGAGGCUCUCCUGAGUUAUUCUUGUUCUUCAUGAAUCUAGUUUUGACUGAGAGUUGAUAUACCCUUUCACCAAUCCUCCUGGCAUCCUCUCCCAUGCUUCCCCUGCCUAAAAUGAUAGAAAAAAAAAACCCCUAGACUGUCUUUCUCAAAGGCAAUAGUCUACAGGAUGCUCCCCAUUAUGGCAGUGGUGUUUGAGAGAAGGGAUGCAAUGUUCAAUAGGAAGCAUGGGGUUUUCAAUAGAGUGCAGUGCUGAACAGAAAGGCCCCCUUUAGCAACCUCUUGAAGCAGAAUGAGCUCCUUUGAAAUAUAAAUGGCCCUGUAAAAACACAAGCAGAUUCUGCAAUAUCUAUUUAGGGCAUCCGGGAAUGCCACAUGAUAGGAACUUGAGCGCACCUGAUGGUAACCAUAUGGCAGGUUCUGAUGACUGACAAUAGGUAGAGGCUGCAGUAAUUAAUGAAAAUGAGAUUCUAUUUGUGGCCCCCACAAUGAGAGGAUGGAGAGGAAGCCAGUCUAUUUGCAAAGGCUGGGAUGUGCCCAGAGUGUGCUUCUAGCCUGGGACAGGCUGGGCCCAUGUUUCUGUGUGUGAACAGGUGUGAGAGAAAUGAUGCUGUGGGAGGGAGGGCUUGUUUCUGGCCAGAGAACCACCAUGCUUUUUGGGCCUGCAGUGGGAAAAUGAGCUUGUGUCACUGAACCCCUGUACCUUGCCAGGAUUUUUAGUUUGAUGUGGGAGAGAUUUCAGGUAGAAAUCCAGUUAAUUGGCCUGGUGGAAGUACAGACUCUAUUGUGUGAGGACUCGGGUGUGCUGUGUGCGAUUUUGACUUCUCUGGAUUUUAGGGUACAAUGCCUCCCUUUACCCUCUUGGAGAUGACUCCUUAAGGUGUGCUUUGCGUCAGAGUGUAGCAGAGUUUGGCUAGCCUCUGGCAAAAGAAAAGGAAAAAGGCAAUGCCUCAUUGUUUUAAUGUUUUUUUCUUAGAUGUGGGGGUGGGAUAGAGGAAGGGAGCUGGCCAGUGAGAAGUGGGCCAUGGGGAGAUUCCAGAGAGACUGAUUGAUCUUGUCAGAAAGAAUAAAGGUAUUCACUCCCCAGAACCCCCUUCAGCACAUGGGCAUGUGGGAUUGAGGCGGUCACUGUGAAGUCUUGCGGUUAGGCGUUCCAAAAAGAAGUUUCUCCAUGAUUCCUGAUUGCUUAGGACAGAUAUAAGCAAUACCAGCUGGGGCCCAGCAAGCCUGUCUCCAGCUUUAUUGUUUCUGAUUUAUCAGUGGUGUGUGCGCCUAAAAGAACUGAUCUAACUGCCCUUUAUUGCUAGCCUAUUCCGUAGCCAGAUAGGAGAGUUGAACAUUAACAAGUGGAUUUGCUUUCAGUAGCUGCCUCUGUGUGUGUGUGUAUGUGUGUGUGUGUGUGCGUGUAUUUAGCAAGAUAACAGUAUCUUGUUCAGGGACAAGUGACUCAAAUUUUUACAAGAACAUUCCCAUUCUUUUGUCUCCCAUCUUGAAUUUUCCCUAAUUUAUUUGAAGCUGCCUCUUUUACUACAGCCAGAGAGGAUCCAUAGGGCUGUUUUGUAAGAGUCCUUCGUAAGUGGUAGAAACUCAGCUGGAGCCAGGUUGGAGGCACCAGGCACUGUGCAUUGAAGAUAUAUUUCAAGUCAUCCCUGGUGGACAAUUUGCACUGUUCCGUGUUAAAAGGCUCUAUUGCAGUGGUUCGGAGAGCCCCCUAGACCUCCUGCCUUGGCAAGCAGAGUUUACAAAUGAUGUCUUCCACUCAGCCUGCCUGGAGUUUCUGGCUUAAAUGGCUGGCAGAGUGAGUGAAAGUGAAGAGUCAGAACUCUCAAGCUGUGUGAAGGGAAAGGUUUUACUACUGAGUGGAAAAUAAUCAUCGAGGUUAACUGUUCCUGGAUUGACCAAGCAGACAGAUGGACUGCUCUGACUCGGGCUGAGUGAUAAACUUCUGAGACUCCUCUGCAAGGGGAAGGGGCAGGUGGAAAUAGAGGAUGAGUGACUCAUGACUUUCCAAUCUGGAGUUUUGCCCAUUCAUUUCUUUCUUGGAGGAAACAAACUAUCCUGCUAAAAUGAUAAUGAUCCACUGGAGGACUUUGGUUUGGAGUCUAGCUCCUAUGGUUUGUGAGAUAUUGUUUCAUUUGGGUAGUUAUUUCCUUCUACACUUUCUUGAUCACAGGUUACAAUGAGGAAGGGCAGAGGAAGAAUGACAGAUGAACUCCCGAUUGCACAGAAACUGGCUCCUGUCAUGGGAAUUUAGUCUUGUCAAAUGUGAAUUCUAGUUCCCGUUCUGGGGAUACUAGAGAUCUGACCACCUCUCCUCUGUUGGAGAUAGAAAAACAGAUUCUCAUUUUAUUUUGGAUCUGGGAUACAUCAAGAUGGCAGAAGUGUUCAGCUGACAGACUCUCCCCCUACCACAUUUAAUGAACAGUCUCUAUUGUCUUGUGGAUGAAAAACAUCAGGGAGUAUUUGAAUAAUUUUACACAAUUCCUGAAGCCUGACCUAUGGCCAAGCGCAUUAGCUUUCUGAGUUUUAAAAAGUAUUUUCCCCUCCAGAAUUAAGGCAAAUCAUUCUUAUAUAGCAUUCUUAAGUGUGUAUGCUUUUUUUUUUAAAGAUAAAACCAAGCAUUUAAAAAAGCCCCAAACUAGUGAUAUUUUAUUAUCUUCUUAGAUUAUUUAAAAUUGUACUGGAGAAAAUGUGUACCCAAAUUUGGUUCAAUCAGAAAUGGGUGUGUGUCAAUGGGGAGAUCUUUCAAAUAUUUAAGCUAUAGAUUCUUUCAUGCCAAAAGGUGGAAGGACGCUGCCUUUAACAACUUUCUUGUUAGAGAGAGUUGAACAUUUGGUUUUAUCAGACAGUGGCAUGGUAAUGAAGCUAUUUUGAUAGAAAUAGCCUCAUCACUAUUCAUUUUUGCUGGCUCCCAACUAAUUCUUGAACCAAGGUUCUAUUUUUUUCCCCCAGAGGAAAACAGGCACAACAAGCAAAAUAAGAUGCUUUUAGCCUCUGAAGCUAAUGAAAAAUUCAGACCACUUCUGCCCAAGGGGCCAUGGUAGAGCCUCCUGCCUCUGCCUGUGAUGACUCUCCACCUUGCCAGGCAGUGUGUGGGACUGGGUCUUCCUCCUCAUGGUCCUACCCUAAAAGACAGACCAUUUGAUUCAAGGGGCAGCGUUGUCUUCCAAAGCUAACAUUCAACUUCUAUUUGGAGGGUUCUCAUCCCUCCAUUCUUAGCAUGCUGCAACAGGGCACAGCUCGCACUGAGGUGGAAGAGACCCUGGCUUCAGUUCUAGUUCUUCUCCUCACUGUGUAACUUUGAGCAUAACACUGAGCCACUCUGGGCCUUGGUUUCCACAGAUGACAAAGGGUUUGUUUAGGUGGUCUCUAAAGAUUCCUUCUAGUUAUAACAUUCCAGACCAGGUAGUUUUUCAUUUUCUCCAUUUAAAAAUGAACUUUUCACUUUAGAAUAGCUUUACAAAUAUAGAAAUAUUGGAAAGACAGUAUAGAGCUUCCCAGUAUGUCCCUCACUCAGUUCUCCUAUGAAUGACAUCUUACAUUCUUAUGAUACAUAUGUCAUAAGGAACCAACAUUGAUACAUUACUAUUAUCAAAUAAAGUUUACCUUUUAUUCAGAUUUCAAUAGUUUUCCACAUUGUCCUUUAUCUGUUUCAGAGUCCUACCCGAGAUACCA